AAUAGAUACCCAGGUAGUCCACGCCGUAAACGAUUAGUGCUAAGUGUUAGAGGGUUUCCGCCCCUUUAGUGCUGCAGCUAACGCAUUAAGCACUCCGCCUGGGGAGUACGGCCGCAAGGCUGAAACUCAAAGGAAUUGACGGGGGGCCCGCACAAGCGGUGGAGCAUGUGGUUUAAUUCGAAGCAACGCGAAGAACCUUACCAGGUCUUGACAUCCUCUGCCAACCCUAGAGAUAGGGCGUUCCCCUUCGGGGGACAGAGUGACAGGUGGUGCAUGGUUGUCGUCAGCUCGUGUCGUGAGAUGUUGGGUUAAGUCCCGCAACGAGCGCAACCCUUGAUCUUAGUUGCCAGCAUUUAGUUGGGCACUCUAAGGUGACUGCCGGUGACAAACCGGAGGAAGGUGGGGAUGACGUCAAAUCAUCAUGCCCCUUAUGACCUGGGCUACACACGUGCUACAAUGGAUGGUACAAAGAGCUGCGAACCCGCGAGGGUGAGCGAAUCUCAUAAAGCCAUUCUCAGUUCGGAUUGUAGG
RNAcentral lists this ribosomal RNA (531 nucleotides) under uncultured bacterium. RNAcentral describes it as "bacterial SSU rRNA". It matches the Rfam family "Bacterial small subunit ribosomal RNA", at positions 777 to 1304 of the family's 1533-position model. The record is from RNAcentral.